RNAcentral lists this ribosomal RNA (462 nucleotides) under uncultured bacterium. RNAcentral describes it as "partial 16S ribosomal RNA". It matches the Rfam family "Bacterial small subunit ribosomal RNA", at positions 29 to 507 of the family's 1533-position model. The record is from RNAcentral.
ACGCACGCUGGCGGCGUGCUUAACCCAUGCAAGUCGAACGGUGAACCUCUUCGGAGGGGCUCCGUGGCGAACGGGUGAGUAACACGUGGGCAACCUGCCCCCGGCUCUGGGAUAACUCCAAGAAAUUGGGGCUAAUACCGGAUGUUCACCGCUUCCCGCAUGGGUGGUGGUGGAAAGGGUUUCCGGCUGGGGAUGGGCCCGCGGCCUAUCAGCUUGUUGGUGGGGUAGUGGCCUACCAAGGCGACGACGGGUAGCCGGCCUGAGAGGGUGACCGGCCACACUGGGACUGAGACACGGCCCAGACUCCUACGGGAGGCAGCAGUGGGGAAUAUUGCGCAAUGGGCGGAAGCCUGACGCAGCGACGCCGCGUGGGGGAUGACGGCCUUCGGGUUGUAAACCUCUUUCAGCAGGGACGAAGCGCAAGUGACGGUACCUGCAGAAGAAGCACCGGCCAACUACGUG